GGCCCCAUCGUCUAAUUGGUGAGGACACUGCGCUUUCAAUGCAGCAAAACGGGUUCAAAUCCCGUUGGGGCUA
This 73-nucleotide transfer RNA is filed under the name Oscillatoriaceae cyanobacterium M33_DOE_052. It matches the Rfam family "tRNA". From Rfam's summary of the family: Transfer RNA (tRNA) molecules are approximately 80 nucleotides in length. Their secondary structure includes four short double-helical elements and three loops (D, anti-codon, and T loops). Further hydrogen bonds mediate the characteristic L-shaped molecular structure. tRNAs have two regions of fundamental functional importance: the anti-codon, which is responsible for specific mRNA codon recognition, and the 3' end, to which the tRNAs corresponding amino acid is attached (by aminoacyl-tRNA synthetases). tRNAs cope with the degeneracy of the genetic code in two manners: having more than one tRNA (with a specific anti-codon) for a particular amino acid; and 'wobble' base-pairing, i.e. permitting non-standard base-pairing at the 3rd anti-codon position. Lineage: Bacteria; Bacillati; Cyanobacteriota; Cyanophyceae; Oscillatoriales; Oscillatoriaceae. The record is from Rfam by way of RNAcentral.